UGUGUGUGUGUGUGUGUGUGUGUGUGUGUCUUUCUGUUGCUCAGGUACUAGUUGUUUAUGUUCUAGCCAGUUUUCUAGCGUAUUAAAUUCCAAAUGAACUAAUCCCAACCUAGAGACUAGGCACAUGAGGUAGAUUUGAAAUGGUUGGAUAACUAACUCGCCUUGUCAUCCAUUUAAGGAUAGUUGAGGAUGUUUCUACUUGUUAUAAGACCUUCACAGUGAAUAGAGCUGUAGUGGGUUUGAAGUCAGGCUACUCAAAUGAGCAGAAUGUUAGCUUCUCGUUUCAGAUCAGUAUGUCUGCCCUCCACGGGUGUUAAAUAACCACACUUGUGUUCAGUUCUGGUUCCACACAAGAUCUGGACUAUAUAAAAUAGGUCAAAACUGCAGGACUUUUGUUGUGAAAUUAUUUCAAGCAAGGGAAAGCUACAUUCUUUGAAACAAUGUUUAUCUCUGUCAUUAAAACGUGUGGUUGCUCAGGGGCAGCAUGCAUGUAGGAAGACAUAUCAUCUGAAACAUUCUUUGUAACUUAAAAAAAUCUUAUUUUCUGUGAAACAGGAAGUCACAAUGGUGGGAUAUGGUGUAGCAACUAAUAAGCUUCUGUACUAAUAAAUUCAAAUAUAUUUUCUUAAAUAUGUCUGUGUUCAUUUUGGGUGCUGUUUUGUUAUUUGAUAAGAUCCAUUGCUACCAGUAGAGAUUUGAUAUGACAAGCUAUGUCUCUCUGCCAAACUGAACCAUUAAUGCAAAGUCCUGCCUGUUGCACUCUGGUUGGUUAUUUGAAUACUUUUUUUGAAUACUUUUUCCCUUCUAAUAAUCUAUACACGGUGUUUAUCAUCUGCAGGCAUUUAAUAGAAAGUGGAUGUGAUUUUAGCCUCAGGAAUAUGCUUUAACUGUCUUUACUGUCUGCUUAUUCUCUAUGGGGCAUUGGUGCGGGACCGCUUUCUGACUGUAGAUCAGACCAUUCUACUCCAGCGCCAAGAGAGCACACUGCAUUCUCUGAGGCUGCAUUGAACUGGUUCACCUCUUACCUGUUAAACCGCAAGCAGUAUGUUUCUCUUGGUGAGGCAAGGUCAGAGGAGUUCACAAGACAGGCAAUGCUUAUAGGCAACCCACAGCAAAUCACCAACUCCUACAACAUCUGCCCUGCCUUUGACAGCCCCAUCAUUCUCCUCUCCACAGUCAUCACCAGUCUGGCUGUGAAAUUUGACCCAACUCUCCCUUUUGAGAAUUUAUGGAAAUGCAGUACUAGGGGGCCUGUCAACAGUUUCAACUCAUAAAAUACAGCUCAUCCAAAACAGUGAUGCAAGGAUCCUGAGACAAUCAAAUAAUUGUGUCCACAUCUCACCAUAAAAUGUUCCUUUUAGACUAUAAAACAAUCAAUGGCCUGGGACCUGUCUACUUAUCUGACCUGCUCACCCCCUAUGAACCACCACAUCCUCUACGGUCCAGCAACAUCAAUCUGCUCAAUGAACCAAGAAUCCGGCUCAGAAAAUGAGACUGCACCUUUUCUUAUAUUGGACCUGACCUCUGGAACUCCCUGACAGCCUCAGGGCUACACAGACAGUCAUGUCUUUUAAAGCAGGUUUUAAGACACACCUCUAUCAGCUUACCCUUCCCUUUACUCAAAUUAUACUGCACAUUAUUGUAUAAUUAUGUAUUAUAAUGUUAGUUUACUGUAUUAUCAUUAUUGUUUAAUGUACACAGAUUAUAUUACAUUUUUAUCUGAUGAUUCUUUUAUUUAAUAUUUUUAUUUUCAUGCACUUUGAGAUUAUUUGUCCCAGUUUAGCCGGUACAGCCUCAUACUGUGCCAGUAGUUUCAUGUUGUUGUGGUAGUUUCAAGCUGUGUCGGUAGUUUCAUGUUGUGCCAGUAGUUUCAUGCUGUGUCGGUAGUUUCAUGUUGUGCUGGUAGUUUCAUGCUGUGCCGGUAGUUUCAUGUUUCCCAAAAUAAUGUAAUUUAGAGUAUUUCGUUAAAUAAAAAAAAACAACUGGUCAAAAUA
This is a long non-coding RNA of Esox lucius (northern pike), 1994 nucleotides long. RefSeq lists it as uncharacterized. The transcript is spliced from 3 exons. The record is from RefSeq and is a predicted model, not a curated record. NCBI's taxonomy places the organism in Eukaryota, Metazoa, Chordata, Actinopteri, Esociformes, Esocidae.